CAUUAGAUGACUGAAAGAUAAGUAUUGGUCUCUUAAACCACUUUAUAGUAAUUAACGACUACUUCUAAUG
This 70-nucleotide transfer RNA is filed under the name Harmonia axyridis. RNAcentral describes it as "tRNA-Lys". The record is from RNAcentral. Lineage: Eukaryota; Metazoa; Arthropoda; Insecta; Coleoptera; Coccinellidae.